This is a long non-coding RNA of Motacilla alba alba, 572 nucleotides long. RefSeq lists it as uncharacterized. The record is from RefSeq and is a predicted model, not a curated record. Lineage: Eukaryota; Metazoa; Chordata; Aves; Passeriformes; Motacillidae. The transcript has 2 exons.
CCCCGCCCGGCUCCGACACGCCUCCGCGCUUAAAGGGGAACGCGCGGGGAGCGAGCGGGACGCGGAGACAGCGCCCAGCCGCCCGGGGGGCGCGGGGGACACGCGCGGGACAGAAAUCCCUCUUCGUCGGGUAUCAGCCUGCUGCUUCCUGGAAAACGGCACACGAGACUGUGAGGAGGAGGGGACAUCGGAGCUGGUAUGCGAGUGUGGAAACAUCCCACCAAAUCUAGCAGGAAAAACCCCUAAAACAAGGAGCCCAAAUGAAAUUAAGAGAUCUAAGUGAUGUCUAGAGGCGAGGAACUGAAUCCAGUGUCUGCUAAGAUCCUUUUUACCUUUCACCCUAACCUAAGGAUGUCAGCUAGAAAGAGGAGCUCGAAUGUCAAAGCAAAGAACUGGAAUGAACUGAUUCCCUUGUAAGGAUGGAAGCUCCAGCUCUGCCUGCUUACUAGCGGAUGCAGCUCCAGUCUUCCUCCUCUUCCGUGCCCCUCCUAGGAGCAGCAGCGGUGUGUGCAUGACCUGCCGAUUCUCCCCACCCGAGCUGAUUUUUUAAUAAAGGCAGUAAAAAGGAGAAA